This 497-nucleotide ribosomal RNA is filed under the name uncultured bacterium. RNAcentral describes it as "partial 16S ribosomal RNA". It matches the Rfam family "Bacterial small subunit ribosomal RNA", at positions 28 to 507 of the family's 1533-position model. The record is from RNAcentral.
GAUGAACGCUGGCGGCGUGCCUAAUACAUGCAAGUCGAGCGAACGGACUAGAAGCUUGCUUCUCUGAUGUUAGCGGCGGACGGGUGAGUAACACGUGGAUAACCUACCUAUAAGACUGGGAUAACUUCGGGAAACCGUAGCUAAUACCGGAUAAUAUUUUGUAUCGCAUGGUUCAAAAGUGAAAGACGGUCUUGCUGUCACUUAUAGAUGGAUCCGCUCUGCAUUAGCUAGUUGGUAAGGUAACGGCUUACCAAGGCAACGAAGCAUAGCCGACCUGAGAGGGUGAUCGGCAACACUGGAACUGGGACACGGUCCAGACUCCUACGGGAGGAAGCAGUAGGGAAUCUUCCGCAAUGGGCGAAAGCCUGACGGAGAAACGCGGCGUGAGUGAUGAAGGUCUUCGGACCGUAAAACUCUGUUAUUAGGGAAGAACAGAUGUGUAAGUAACUGUGCACAUCUUGACGGUACCUAAUCAGAAAGCCACGGCUAACUACGUG